UCGCUAGUAAUCGCGGAUCAGAAUGCCGCGGUGAAUACGUUCCCGGGUCUUGUACACACCGCCCGUCACACCAUGGGAGUUGGAAAUGCCCGAAGUCAGUGGCCCAACCUACGGGAGGGAGCUGCCGAAGGCAGGUUCGAUGACUGGGGUGAAGUCGUAACAAGGUAAC
Molecule: ribosomal RNA, 169 nt
Filed under: uncultured bacterium
Lineage: Bacteria
Description: partial 16S ribosomal RNA
Rfam family: Bacterial small subunit ribosomal RNA
Source: RNAcentral